This 401-nucleotide ribosomal RNA is filed under the name uncultured prokaryote. RNAcentral's name for it is "bacterial SSU rRNA". It matches the Rfam family "Bacterial small subunit ribosomal RNA", at positions 355 to 774 of the family's 1533-position model. The record is from RNAcentral.
UGGGGAAUAUUGCACAAUGGGCGAAAGCCUGAUGCAGCAACGCCGCGUGAGCGCUGAAGGCCUUCGGGUCGUAAAGCCCUGUCCUCAAGGAAGAUAAUGACGGUACUUGAGGAGGAAGCCCCGGCUAACUACGUGCCAGCAGCCGCGGUAAUACGUAGGGGGCUAGCGUUAUCCGGAAUUACUGGGCGUAAAGGGUGCGUAGGUGGUUUCUUAAGUCAGAGGUGAAAGGCUACGGCUCAACCGUAGUAAGCCUUUGAAACUGGGAAACUUGAGUGCAGGAGAGGAGAGUGGAAUUCCUAGUGUAGCGGUGAAAUGCGUAGGUAUUAGGAGGAACACCAGUUGCGAAGGCUGCUCUCUGGACUGUAACUGACACGGAGGCACGAAAGCGUGGGGAGCAAACA